UUGAUGUUUGGUUUGUGUGGGGGGAAAUAAUUAUUCGUUUAUUAAGUUCAGCAGUCACCUUUAACCAGGGGUGGGACAGUCGCCUUAUAGUGACGUUUUCAGAAAACUGUAGUGCCAUCUCUUAGUUGGCCUCAAAAUUAAAGCUUUGUCAGCUGUCACUCGCUUUGAAACCUGCCCACUGGUCAUAAAAUGGCGGCUACUUCUAGUGUUUGCACUUUGCGCAUGUAUGUAGCUCUCGUGUUCCAUUUUGCAUAUUUUUGGUAUUGAAAUCGAAGUGUAAGUGCGUCGAGUCGAGCCUUGUGUUUCUCCGCCGUGCUGUUGCGAAUUCACUCCAAAAAUCUUCUUAUUCUGUGAAUUUCUACUUUUUGUGAUAGAGACACUUUUGUUUUUGGAAUUUAUGAACGUUGGUGUAAUGCCGAGACGUAGUGCUUUCGGUUGUACGCUCCGUGAGAUUCCAAUGCAUCGUUUCCCAGAUGCUGUCAAAUUUCCUGAGCAGUUUAAAACUUGGGUCAGUCUUGUUGGUGGAAACCCUUAAACAUCUGAUUUUGAAUGUUAUAAGAAGAAGAGAAUUUGUGAUAUACACUUUUCUGACAGACACAGAAAUCAUAAUCAAAGGCUAAGCACAUUGGCAGUUCGGAUGCUUCAUCUGCAAGUUCUAUUCCUUAUUCUGUCAGAUUUAGUCACACCACUAAGAAUCUCUGUUGAGUCGAAGGUUUUUUUGAAGGACAAGUUCAGAGUCAAGUAAUCUUAGGACAAGCUUCAUCCACACAACAUUUACUGCCUACAAUAAUACAGCAAGACUG
Long non-coding RNA from Leptidea sinapis, 803 nucleotides. RefSeq lists it as uncharacterized. The transcript has 3 exons. The record is from RefSeq and is a predicted model, not a curated record. NCBI's taxonomy places the organism in Eukaryota, Metazoa, Arthropoda, Insecta, Lepidoptera, Pieridae.